Gymnogyps californianus (California condor) is the source of this 381-nucleotide long non-coding RNA. RefSeq lists it as uncharacterized. The record is from RefSeq and is a predicted model, not a curated record. The transcript has 3 exons. NCBI's taxonomy places the organism in Eukaryota, Metazoa, Chordata, Aves, Accipitriformes, Cathartidae.
UAAUGAAUGACGUUGAUUACUGACCACAAGAAAAAAAAGAGAAGGUUGCUGUCUUCAUAUGAAACUGUAAAUGCUUGCUAAGGCUGAGACGAGGGGAAAAGGAUAAUUGGCUCUUCAGACUUUGCUCAUCUUUGCUCAUAGUGUAAUGGAUGAAGGGACAAAUUUCAGGUUUCCGUUUCGCCAUGGUACCAUUGCGUCUAUGUAGGUGCACUCGUCCAGAGGUGCUGGCUGUUUUGCAGUCUACGUCACCAAUCUCACAAGUGUUUCUAAAGCAACCAAGAGAUGUAUCAGAGCAUCUUGCUUCAGGUACCACCUUUCUCCAUUCCGUAGUCUGACAAUAAGUAAUAUAACUAACAUACCUGUACUUUUGGACCAAGGAAA